UACGUAGGUGGCAAGCGUUGUCCGGAGUGACUGGGCGUAAAGCGCGCGCAGGCGGUUAGACACGCCGGUCGUGAAAGCCCCCGGCUCAACCGGGGCGGGUCGAUCGGGACGGUCUGACUGGAGGGUGUCAGAGGGGGGUGGAACGCCGCGUGGAGCAGUGAAAUGCGUAGAUAUGCGGCAGAACACCGGAGGCGAAGGCGGCCCCCUGGGGCACAUCUGACGCUGAGGCGCGAAGGCGCGGGGAGCGAACGGG
This 253-nucleotide ribosomal RNA is filed under the name uncultured bacterium. RNAcentral's name for it is "partial 16S ribosomal RNA". It matches the Rfam family "Bacterial small subunit ribosomal RNA", at positions 524 to 776 of the family's 1533-position model. The record is from RNAcentral.